This 881-nucleotide long non-coding RNA is filed under the name Equus caballus (horse). RNAcentral's name for it is "lncRNA (ENSECAG00000042120.2)". The record is from RNAcentral. Lineage: Eukaryota; Metazoa; Chordata; Mammalia; Perissodactyla; Equidae.
CACGACUCAGUCCUCCAUGUGGCAGCAUGGAGUUUUCCUGCCUUUGAUCCUUUCUUGUGGUUUGACACUUACCCUGCUCCCUCUGGGGUCCAGGCUAGUGAAAAACUAAGCUGAUAAGAGGGGAUCUUUGUUAAAAUGGAGAAAACAGACAGGGAAUCUGUGCAGUUAGGAUCCUGGAAGGAAAUGGGUGGGAUCGUUCAGGAGAGUGUCGUGAGAGACCGUUUCCAAGGGUGUGAGAUGGGUAAGGGGAACCACCAACAAUGGUGGAGGUCAUUACCAAACACAGGCCAGAAGGGCAGGGAGAACGCUGGUGACCAGCACCCGGAAGCCGCUGACAGUGUGGGCUUUGGAAGACGAACACAGCAAUUGGGAGGAGAUGAUCCAGGUGCUUGUCCUUGACGGUGUCUGUCUCCACGGAGGAUAGUGGAUUCUGGAGCCAGGAAGAAAGAGAAUGUUGUGUGAAGAGGUGAUACUGGGAGCUGCUGCAACCAUCUUGCAACCACAAGGAGACAAACUUGAGGACAAAAGGUAACGUGAAAAUGGCAAAGAAUGACUUAGGUCUUUGAUGUUAUCAUUGAACUAUGAAAUGAGCCAACUGAAAUCUGCAUAUCUCAAGAAUUCUUAUGUUGUGAAAUAAAUCUUUCUGGUCUUGAAGUUAUUGUAAGUUGGGUCCUUUGUUAAUUGCUGAUAAAAAAUCUUGACUAAUACAUAUAAUGAGAAGGCAACAAAAUCAUUAAAUUGGUAUCUUAAGAGAUUGAAUAACGAAUAAAAAUCACUCGCAAAAGACUGAACUAAAAAAGACAAUAACAACCAAAAAAGGUGGUAAGUAGGAAUGGCAUAAAUGCACUGUUGUUUAGCAAGUUUGUGAGUGUUGGAUAAAA